RNAcentral lists this transfer RNA (72 nucleotides) under Dendronephthya gigantea. Its description in RNAcentral is "tRNA-Gly". It matches the Rfam family "tRNA". From Rfam's summary of the family: Transfer RNA (tRNA) molecules are approximately 80 nucleotides in length. Their secondary structure includes four short double-helical elements and three loops (D, anti-codon, and T loops). The record is from RNAcentral. Lineage: Eukaryota; Metazoa; Cnidaria; Anthozoa; Malacalcyonacea; Nephtheidae.
GCGUUGAUGGUGUAAUGGUUAGCAUUGCUGCCUUCCAAUCAGUAGAUCUGGGUUCGAUUCCCGGUCAACGCA